This 275-nucleotide ribosomal RNA is filed under the name uncultured bacterium. RNAcentral's name for it is "partial 16S ribosomal RNA". It matches the Rfam family "Bacterial small subunit ribosomal RNA", at positions 399 to 691 of the family's 1533-position model. The record is from RNAcentral.
GCGUGGGUGAAGAAGGUCUUCGGAUUGUAAAGCCCUUUCGACGGGGACGAUGAUGACGGUACCCGUAGAAGAAGCCCCGGCUAACUUCGUGCCAGCAGCCGCGGUAAUACGAAGGGGGCUAGCGUUGCUCGGAAUUACUGGGCGUAAAGGGCGCGUAGGCGGCACUGUUAGUCAGGCGUGAAAGUCCUGGGCUCAACCUGGGAACUGCGCUUGAUACGGCAGAGCUAGAGGAUGGAAGAGGGUCGCGGAAUUCCCAGUGUAGAGGUGAAAUUCGU